UGACUAUCCAUUUAUCAAGCUAUGUUAAAUAGGGAGACAUUGAUGCCUUAAAAGGUGGAUUCUAAAAAUUUACUCAUCUUUUUUGAUCUAGUGGCGACCAAAAGAUACUAAUCAAUAAGAUUAUCAGAAAUACCUUGAAAAAUAAAUUUGUGACGUUUGAGAAAAAUAUGAGUUACCUUUAAUAUCAAAAUAUUCAAUAUACAGACAAAUAAAUUCAAACAUGUUAAGUAAAAAUAAUAAUAAUCAUAUCGAUGGCAUAAUUGGAUUAAUAGAUAUGUAUCAAAACGUGUAUAUCUAGCUGAAUUUGAAGAAGAUUGAAAAAUUAUUUUCCUGUAAUUAAUUCAAUUCCAAAUAAAUUGAAGCCCUUUUUAAGAGAUUGGCAUCAGUUUUUAAAAUGACUACCCAUUUAUCAUGCUAUGGGAAAUAGGGAGACAUUGAUGCCCUAAAAAGUGGAUUCUAAAAUUUUCCUCAUAUUUUUUGAUCUAGUGGUGACCAAAAGAUACUAAUCAAUACGAUUACCACAAAUAACUUGAAGAAAUAGAAAUUGCGAAAGUUUGAG
Molecule: non-coding RNA, 559 nt
Organism: Styela clava
Lineage: Eukaryota; Metazoa; Chordata; Ascidiacea; Stolidobranchia; Styelidae
Source: RefSeq, a predicted model, not a curated record